AGAGUUUGAUCCUGGCUCAGAAUGAACGCUGGCGGCGUGCCUAACACAUGCAAGUCGGAUGUGCCCGCAAGGGUGCAUGGCAGACGGGUGAGUAACGCGUGGGGAAUCUACCUCUUUGUGGGGAAUAACGCUCCGAAAGGAGUGGUAAUACCGCAUGAGAUCCAUGGCUGGAAUGUUGUGGAUGAAACCUGGGGACCUUCGGGCCUGGGGCAAGGAGAGGAUCCUGCGUCUGAUUAGCUAGUUGGUGAGGUAACGGCCCACCAAGGCAACGAUCAGUAGCCGGCCUGAGAGGGUGAUCGGCCACACUGGAACUGAGACACGGUCCAGACUCCUACGGGAGGCAGCAGUGGGGAAUUUUGCGCAAUGGGCGAAAGCCUGACGCAGCAACGCCGCGUGGGUGAUGAAGGUCUUCGGAUCGUAAGAACCCUGUCGUCGGGGACGAAGGUGUGGGGGUUAAUA
RNAcentral lists this ribosomal RNA (459 nucleotides) under uncultured bacterium. RNAcentral's name for it is "bacterial SSU rRNA". It matches the Rfam family "Bacterial small subunit ribosomal RNA", at positions 8 to 465 of the family's 1533-position model. The record is from RNAcentral.